RNAcentral lists this ribosomal RNA (89 nucleotides) under Caerostris extrusa. Lineage: Eukaryota; Metazoa; Arthropoda; Arachnida; Araneae; Araneidae. The record is from RNAcentral.
GCUACCGGUUCUCGUUCGAUCACCGAAGUCAAGCAUCAUGGGGCGCGUUCAGUACUAGGGGUGACCACCUGGGAACACCGCGUGCCGUU